This 576-nucleotide ribosomal RNA is filed under the name uncultured Verrucomicrobiae bacterium. RNAcentral describes it as "bacterial SSU rRNA". It matches the Rfam family "Bacterial small subunit ribosomal RNA", at positions 78 to 652 of the family's 1533-position model. The record is from RNAcentral. Lineage: Bacteria; Pseudomonadati; Verrucomicrobiota; Verrucomicrobiia.
GCUUGCUAAUUAAGAUCUUAGUGGCGGACGGGUUAGUAACACGUGAGAACCUACCCUUUAGACAGGAAUAGCCCAUGGAAACGUGGAUUAAUGCCUGAUAGUCUCUACGGAGUAAAUGGUGCCUUCGGGUAUCGCUAGAGGAUGGGCUCGCGGCCUAUCAGCUUGUUGGUGAGGUAAAGGCUCACCAAGGCGACGACGGGUAGCUGGUCUGAGAGGACGAUCAGCAACACUGGAACUGAGACACGGUCCAGACACCUACGGGUGGCAGCAGUCGAGAAUCAUUCACAAUGGAGGCAACUCUGAUGGUGCAACGCCGCGUGGAGGAUGACGGUCCUAGGAUUGUAAACUCCUGUCAUUGGGGAGUAAGACUUAAGCGUUAAGAGCGUUUAAGUUUGAUAGUACCCAAAGAGGAAGGGACGGCUAACUUCGUGCCAGCAGCCGCGGUAAUACGAAGGUCCCAAGCGUUGUUCGGAAUCACUGGGCGUAAAGCGUGUGUAGGCUGCGCGGAAAGUCAAAUGUGAAAGCCCGGGGCUCAACCUCGGAACUGCAUUCGAUACUCCCGUGCUAGAGUAAUGG